UUCACGAGCAUACAGACAUACCCUAAUAACACCGACCGCCUAAGCUCCCGAGCGAAUCGAGUGUUGAUAUUUUAAUUCGGCAAUUCGCUUUCCGUCGACCUUCAUUUUGCAACCGCCGCUCGUGAAAUCGCGAAUAUAAUAAAUCCGGCUGCAUCAGCCAAGGAUUUAACUCCGCAAUACCGAGCUGAUUGUGAGACGAAAAGCUUACUGAUCUUUCUCAGUGAGAAAGUUCGAUAAAUCGUGCUUAUGCGAAUCGUUACUCACUUUUUAGCUCCAACGCGUCCUGAGGGCAUCCAGUUUCCGCCUUAUUCAGUAUGCAUUUCUUGUACUUCUCGAGGAGUCUAUCGUUAUUAAUAACCCUGUGCGUGUCCACGUUGUCCAAUUUCCCACUGUAAUAUUCUUCGGCUGCAGCCACUGCGG
This is a long non-coding RNA of Neodiprion fabricii, 420 nucleotides long. RefSeq lists it as uncharacterized. The record is from RefSeq and is a predicted model, not a curated record. The transcript is spliced from 2 exons. NCBI's taxonomy places the organism in Eukaryota, Metazoa, Arthropoda, Insecta, Hymenoptera, Diprionidae.